Molecule: long non-coding RNA, 480 nt
Organism: Octopus bimaculoides (California two-spot octopus)
Lineage: Eukaryota; Metazoa; Mollusca; Cephalopoda; Octopoda; Octopodidae
Source: RefSeq, a predicted model, not a curated record
GUAAUUAAAAUGUUUAGAUGGAGAAAGAAUGUAAUAUGUUCAAUAAUGACGAGAAUCUAAAAACUGAUUAUUUUGUAAUUCACUGAAGAACAUAAGAUGUUGCUUCUCGAGGUAAAUGUCUGUAUGAAUAAUGAUUGAGUCUACGACUCGAAACUUUUUUGAUUGUAUGGACAAAAGAAAAACAACAUAUCUAUACCUCUAAAAGAAAGAUAAUGAUCAUCUAAAUCUUAUCAAGUUUACCUAAGUAAUUAUAUAAUCCAAUGCAGUUAUUAAGAAUCUAAAUUUCGGAUAUAUAUACACAUAUAAAUGCUUAAACUGCUGACAUUAUGAGAGUGUCUAAGGGAAUAAUAAGAAUUUCGGCCUGACUUUCGAAGAAAACUCUGGAGUCGUAUUGGGUCUAUGCACAGAUAUGAACUCAGAACUGUGCUUAUGAGUUAAAUAAAGUAGUGCAGAAACAAUAAAGUAUCAAUCGAAAUGUUA